UGACAGCCUCCAGGUAGUAGUGACUUCAAGAUCUUUCUCAGCAUUCAAGUGAAGGUAGAAGGACAUGACAAGAUGACCAACUAGAAGGAGCUGCAGUUGGAGCGUCCCACCAAAACAAACCAAAUGGGGCUGGCAUUUCUUUUCCUGGGACAGUGGAGGACAACUUACUUUGAAAAUGUGAUGGGAGUUGACAAAAGAGGGAAUAAAUAAAAGAUUCUCUAUCAAGAACCUUGCUUAGUGGUGUUUAUUUAUUCCAAUGCUUAGACAAUGGAAGUUAACUACA
This 283-nucleotide long non-coding RNA is filed under the name Callithrix jacchus (white-tufted-ear marmoset). RNAcentral's name for it is "lncRNA (ENSCJAG00000075261.1)". Lineage: Eukaryota; Metazoa; Chordata; Mammalia; Primates; Cebidae. The record is from RNAcentral.